GUGUCAGCAGCCGCGGUAAUACGUAGGUGGCAAGCGUUGUCCGGAUUUACUGGGCGUAAAGGGAGCGUAGGCGGACUUUUAAGUGAGAUGUGAAAUACCCGAGCUCAACUUGGGUGCUGCAUUUCAAACUGGAAGUCUAGAGUGCAGGAGAGGAGAAGGGAAUUCCUAGUGUAGCGGUGAAAUGCGUAGAGAUUAGGAAGAACACCAGUGGCGAAGGCGCUUCUCUGGACUGUAACUGACGCUGAGGCUCGAAAGCGUGGGGAGCAAACAGGAUUAGAAACCCCGGUAGUCC
RNAcentral lists this ribosomal RNA (292 nucleotides) under uncultured bacterium. RNAcentral's name for it is "partial 16S ribosomal RNA". It matches the Rfam family "Bacterial small subunit ribosomal RNA", at positions 505 to 796 of the family's 1533-position model. The record is from RNAcentral.